RNAcentral lists this ribosomal RNA (197 nucleotides) under uncultured bacterium. RNAcentral describes it as "partial 16S ribosomal RNA". It matches the Rfam family "Bacterial small subunit ribosomal RNA", at positions 328 to 539 of the family's 1533-position model. The record is from RNAcentral.
ACGCUCGACACCUACGGAGGCAGCAGUGGGGAAUAUUGCACAAUGGAGGAAACUCUGAUGCAGCGAUGCCGCGUGAGGGAAGAAGGUUUUCGGAUUGUAAACCUCUGUCUUUGGGGACGAUAAUGACGGUACCCAAGGAGGAAGCUCCGGCUAACUACGUACCAGCAGCCGCGGUAAUCUGAGCGGGCUGGCAAGGC